CUAAAUAUUUUUUCGUUGCACCAUUACACUUAGUUGAUGUGUAACUCUACGUUUAAACUAAAUAUUUACGGACGCGUCUGGUCAGGAGUAACGGUUGGAAUAAAAUAGCAGACUGAGUGAACUGCAUCAAUAUGCUCUUCUUUUACCUGACAACCUCCAAUCCUUUAGGCAUAUAUGAUGCUGCUGACAUUCACACUCACGUACAUAUUAAGAGAGAGAACAAUAUGUGAAUAUGUGAAGCCCGUCUUCAACACCCCAUCUACAGCGCGCCUCUGUGCACUUCGGUCCGUGUUUGCGCAUGUCAGAUGAAAUAAUAAAUAAAUGGCAUUUCUUAUGUUUUUUUUUUCUUUCAGUAUUUAUUGAUCCUUAUUUAUUUCAAUUACAGUUUCUGAAUGUUAUUUACAUAUAAAAAUAGCUUACGUAUAGACUAAUGUUAUUAAUGUAUGGUUUUUAAUGGAAACUUGUUUUUACCGUUAGUAUAGGUGAAGCAAAAGAAGUUAGAAUGAAGGAUAAAUUAAAAUUAAUAACAUUUAAACAAGUUCUGCUCGUGUAUUUGAAGGUUUCUAUUGGAUGAUUUAGGGUAAACGUCAUUUUAUGCGACUACGCAUUACUUUACGGAGAGCUUACGAACUACUAGCUACGUCCUGCUUAACGUACAACUGGUGCAACCGAACUUAUUAUUGAGUACAUUACAUGGCAUUUGGAUUUCAACGGCCACAUAUAAUGUCCUGUAUUGGCUUAUAUGAAUGUGAUAUAUCAACAAAUGCAGCUGACAAAUGGCGUAUGACUGGGACCGAGCUGCAGUCAAUAUUUACGCCUAUUUAAGCAGACAGAGAUUUCUCUGAGUUUCUGGCCUGUGGAGCAUCUUACAGUAGUGUCUCUAUGGACCGUCUGUAUUAAAGCCAGCUGAGGCUCUGCGAGCUCCGUUUGCCCUCUGUUUCCUUCCCUAACUAUCAUUCCACACCUUGCACGGACCGGAAACCUUCUAUGCCGGUAGGGUGGGCUGCACUUGACGCAUAUGUCAAAAUGAGUGGGUCAUGACCCCGUGGCAGGCAGCAUUUCCUGUUGCUGUAAAAGAGGCCUAGCGGGAGCAGUAGAGAUCAGAGUGGGCCCAGCAGCACAUCCGGAACUGGAUGGGCUGCAGCCGUCCAAACCAAUACAUCAGCCCAACAGUAGCGAAUGUGGGUGGAAAAAUGAGAACAGGAAGUUUUUCUGCCACAAUGAAAUACAGAGUGCGCCAUAUUCAAGUAUGACUAAAUUUAUAUAGAGUGCACAAUUCAGACAUACGGGACAUCAUUCAAUAAAAGAUCACAUUUAAAAAAUGUUACUAUUUUACACUGACUGAAAAGACAUUCUUAUUUCAGUCAAUGAAAAUAACAUUUUAGUU
Onychostoma macrolepis is the source of this 1387-nucleotide long non-coding RNA. RefSeq lists it as uncharacterized. The transcript is spliced from 5 exons. Lineage: Eukaryota; Metazoa; Chordata; Actinopteri; Cypriniformes; Cyprinidae. The record is from RefSeq and is a predicted model, not a curated record.